This 253-nucleotide ribosomal RNA is filed under the name uncultured bacterium. RNAcentral describes it as "partial 16S ribosomal RNA". It matches the Rfam family "Bacterial small subunit ribosomal RNA", at positions 524 to 776 of the family's 1533-position model. The record is from RNAcentral.
UACGGAGGAGGCAAGCGUUAUCCGGAAUUAUUGGGCAUAAAGCGUCCGUAGAUGGUUUUGUCAGUCUGCUGUCAAAGCACAGGGCUUAACCCUGUAAAGGCAGUGGAAACUACAAGACUAGAGUGCAGUAGGGGCAGAGGGAAUUCCCAGUGUAGCGGUGAAAUGCGUAGAGAUUGGGAAGAACAUCCGUGGCGAAAGCGCUCUGCUGGACUGCAACUGACAUUGAGGGACGAAAGCUAGGGGAGCGAAUGGG